RNAcentral lists this long non-coding RNA (2355 nucleotides) under Homo sapiens (human). Its description in RNAcentral is "HSALNT0265255". The record is from RNAcentral. Lineage: Eukaryota; Metazoa; Chordata; Mammalia; Primates; Hominidae.
CUCCUCCUUCCUCCUUCAGAUGAGAUGACUGAAACUGCCGCAGUCACUAUAGGACCGUGAAUAAAGGUGGCGUAGAAAGAUAAAAAGAACCCGGGACAUUGAUAGCAUCAUGGGGCCUGUUCUCCUCCACCCUAGUCUACCUACGUCUAGAAUUCUGGUUACGUGAGCAAACCCACUCUGCAUUUCUGUUAUUACUGAUACAGUGAUGGAGCCAGGAUUUGAACCAAAGCUAUGCUGAGUCAUUCCUUCUCAUCCAGGCCUCCCUCGCAUCAGUCAUCAGCUUCAAUUACCAGUUUUCCGGAGCCGAGCCAUCAGGCAGUCUGACACCGGGGUCCGGCCUAAUUCCCACCUUCUCCAGAGUCAAGAGCAUAAUGUGCGGAUGAAAAGGUGCAAAAUAGCUUGGACUUCAUUAGCAUGCAGGGCCUGGCUGUUCAUUUGCCGGCUGCGGAUGGAAGUUCUGACACUCGGAGCUUGCUGCAAAAUGAGAAAAGUCCUCUUCAGGGGAGAUGAGGUCCUUGGUGGUGAGGAAAGGUCAUCAAAAAGACAGCCGCUGCCCUUGCUCCCUGCUCUCCAUGACUGCUUAUUGAUUCCAGGAACACCUCAUUACACGCCGGAUCAACAUAUUAUUGCCAUGUUCUGGGACUGAAUUGUUUACAAGUGUCUUUAUCGCCAGCAAAGGCCUGCCCGGAGAUGCAUGACUACACUCAUUUGGCUGUGACCCGCCAAUUAUGUGUUAUCCGAUAUGUUGCUGGGUAUCUUGAUCUUUGCCCGGGUCUUCUCCUGGCAUCAACACAGUCCCAUUUACUACUUCUUUCUAACCACUCUUUGGGAAAGUAGCCAUUAGCCUGUCAGUGUGUAAAUGUGCGUGUGUGUGUGUGCGUGUGUGUGUGUGUGUGUGUGUGUUACCUCUGCUACAGGAAAUCUGAGCAUCGAUGCUCCAUUGCUUGCUAUUCAUGAGGUGCAUAAUCAUUUGGGGGAAAGAAAUUCUCACUCACACUCACACACACACACCUUUUUUUAUGGCAUCCAGGGUAACCCACACAAUUUGCAAUCAGUAUGCACAACAGAGAGCAUAAUGCAGCUUGUUAGCAGCUCCCUCUGCUUACAUAUAGGCCCGACGAGAGAGCCGUCAUAUUUUAUUUGGGCAUAGCUACUGCAAACCACUGCACAGGACCAUUUUAAUCUUUCAUUACAGACACUUCUAUGGCUCCAUAAAAGAAAGAGUGGACUAGCAACUUGAUUAAAAACUUAGUAAAGAGAUUGUGCAAACCCUCCCAUCCCUGAAAAGUGGAGCCACAGCCUUAGUUUCUUACUGACGCCACUCUGCAAUGCAAAUGUGACUUCCAUUUCCCUCCAAUGGUGACUACUGACAUAAAUUUAAUGAUGCUGAGAAUUGACAACUUCUAUUAAUUUUUGUGAAUAUUGCUUGGAGAAGGUUUAACGACUCCACCAAACAUUAGGACCGUCUCAACCAAAUACUAAAAAGGGGUCCAUUUCAUUUACAUUUCCUGUUGCCAUCAAGAAUGGCUCUUUAAUGAGUUUUCCGCAGCAGGAUGUAGAGACACAGAUGCCAAGAAACUUGCCUUUAUUUUCUUGGAAGCAUAUAUCCUUGGCAAUGGGCACAUAUUAAUAUGAUGAGUGAACUGAAACUCAAGAAUCUAACUGCCUUCAGAAAAGUGACAUCUGUAUGCACAUUCAUUUCCAGCAAUUUCCCAGAUUUCUUUGGUAUUUGUCUUUCUUUAAUUUUUUCCAGGUAUUUUUUUUCUCUUUCCAAUUUUGAGAGAGGAGUUUUGUAAAGAUACUGAGUUCUUUUGGUUCUUUCCAAAAUCCCUUAGUUUUGGCUUUCUGACAAAUCACUAUUAAUAACUGGAAAAGGCUGAUUAAGACCCCCUCGUCAGGGUGCUUCAACUCAAUUAAAGAGUCCAUCAGGAGAUGUUUACUCCACCCAGUGUUCAAGGACUCUGCUAAUUCUGUACUAUUCUGUACUAUUAUCAACCAAUAAAUACCCUUUGGAAGAGAAAGAGGUGAUUGGAAGGAUUACUCUUGGUUUAUUUCGGGGGGUACUAUUGCACGAGAAGCUUGAUCAAGGGAUAAAGAUGGAACAAAAAGGAGUGUUUACCAACAUUCGUAUCUGACGAUCAAGUCUCAGUGUGGUUGGAACUCAGAGAAGGACAAAAAGGGUAACUUUCAAUAACUAGGAGUCAUCCAAAAGGAAAGGGGCUUCUUUACAAAUUUACAAGAAAUUGUAAUGAUGCAGCAGUGGGAAUGCCCAGGCGGUAGGCACUUUGAGGUUGAAUGCCCUAGGUAGAAGGGAGAGCCACAUCCAGGAGCUUCUGCCAAUUGUUAUAACCAGAU